UUUUCUUCUCAACAGAAAUAAAACUACGAAAAUUACAAUGGAUAUCACAAAAAUGUCAAUCACCCUUUUCUUGGUAAUGACAUUGGCAAUUUCAUCCAACUGUGAAGUUCUGGCCGCAUCAAGUAUAAUCAUUCUUCCCAGAAAAUUUCAUUAUUAGUUUUUUUUUUUUAAUCUUUGAACAUUUUGAAAGCAGAACUUAUUAUAUAUGUAUAUAUAUAUAUAUAUGUAUAUGUGAUAGAAUUUGCGAUAACCAUGUAUAUGGAUGUGUAAGAACUUUGAUUUGUCAAAAGAAGUACAACUAUUAUUUGGAUAUGGUAUAUAUGAUUAUAAUCUUAAUUAACCUUGGUUGUGUAAAGGUGAAGUCAGUAAGACAACAAACUAUGGAGAAUGCAUUUAUGAGGAGCUUUGUGAGAUGGGAAAGUCCGGAACUCAUGAAUGCAUCGUUAAGUGUUCUAAGAAGAAUAAGAAGUACACAGGAGGAAAAUGUAUUCCAAAAAAUCCAGAAUAUGGAUAUUGUUGUUGCAC
RNAcentral lists this long non-coding RNA (525 nucleotides) under Brassica napus (rape). RNAcentral's name for it is "long non-coding RNA (BNAP_LNC014804)". Lineage: Eukaryota; Viridiplantae; Streptophyta; Magnoliopsida; Brassicales; Brassicaceae. The record is from RNAcentral.